Molecule: long non-coding RNA, 586 nt
Filed under: Homo sapiens (human)
Lineage: Eukaryota; Metazoa; Chordata; Mammalia; Primates; Hominidae
Description: HSALNT0182651
Source: RNAcentral
UCUCAGGCCUGCUCAGAUGGUUUAUGACCUUCGCUCCACUGCUUAGAUAAGCAGAAUACUUGAAGUCACUACUUGCAGAGAACAGGAAUCUAUAAACUCAUACCAUAAGAGAAAGGAAAAUUUGUUUUUCUCCUCCCUAUGUUGAGGGAGUGCUAGGAUAGACUUCAGGCCACAUUAGAUAGCAUUAUCAAGACUUUCCCUGGGUCUGGGCUGUGCCUGUUGCUGCUUCUGGGACAAGUCAGCCUAAUACAGGAAAACUUAUUUCUUUUUUUUAAAUUUUCUUUUUCUUUCUUUCUUUAAUUUCCCACCUCAGCGCAUGUCUGGUGAUAGGCACAGGAAGACGGACGCCACAGUUAGCGGGAACCCGCUUUACAAGUGAAAUAUCCCUGCGUUAUUGAAGCGAACUGGAGUCCCCCACCCAGCACAGCAAAGCCAAACACUGACAUGGGGCUAGCAGCGAGAGAAAAUGAGGAAAUUUUUGAAGGGCACCAAGCAAGGACAUUCAGGCAGCUCAUGCUUCAGGCCUGCACUCCCUGAUGGCUUACAGGAGGCAGGCCAACAACUUUGGGGUAAUGACAGUGGUGUA